GUUUCAAACUUGCAAGCCGUGGAAAAUAUAUCCAUGGGCCAGACCGCACAGAGAUAUUCUGAGACGUCCAAUGCUCCACACUCCCUAUUUCUCAUCUUCCUAAAUUAGCAUUGUCAUGCCUUGACGAGUCAGGAUUGCAUGAUCUUCCUUUCGCCGUCCCAACUACAAUAUCCAUCUGCGGUGGAGACGUUGCGUCAGAAACCGCUGGAAAUCAGUGUCACACCCCGCCACUUACACCAAUGACUAGAAGCAGAGAAGAAGACGUGUCAGGAUACGGCUGUUAGUCGACUUUCAGAGUGUGGACUUUUUCAAGCAGAUUUCUCUCAGAAGCGAGUGACAGAACGAAAUCGAGCGAGACACUUGAAAGAGAAUGUUCUGGUGUGUACGAAUAAUCUCUCUCUGGCAGCUUUCAUCUCCAGCCAUGGCUGUCAUUACCCAUGCUAGCGCUCUAACUAGCGUUAACCCACUUUAGCAGGGUUAUCAGACAGUGACGUAAGAGCUGGUAAUACAUGUCUAGAGUAAAAGGCCAAAUGUGUUCUCAUACAGCAAGACUUUGGACUUUUGGUCCAAAUGCUGAGAGGUCAGAGGUUAAAAGAUCAAACACAUGCAUCACUUUGAUAAUGCUUUGAUAAGUCAUAAUGAUAAUAGACUAUUGGUUUUGGACCGUGUGCAGUAAUUAUUUUUACUUCUUGUAUAUUUAUUAUUUGUUUUUUGUUUUGUUUUUUCUUCUAUGUAUGUGUAUUGUACUAUGGAUCCCUCUGGGUCUGGAAAUAAAGUUUAUUAUUAUAAUAUGUUUUGAUCUACUUGACAUGCAUUGUGGUUGAAAUAUGAUCUUGUUAUUGAGAUUUGACAUCACAGAAACAGUGUAAUCAUAAUCAGAUUGCUCACAGCUAUUUGUUUACAUGUGCUGCAAUAAAUCCACCUACUGCUACCAAUAAAAUAUUAAACAUGA
Long non-coding RNA from Carassius auratus (goldfish), 952 nucleotides. RefSeq lists it as uncharacterized. NCBI's taxonomy places the organism in Eukaryota, Metazoa, Chordata, Actinopteri, Cypriniformes, Cyprinidae. The record is from RefSeq and is a predicted model, not a curated record. The transcript is spliced from 2 exons.